GUGUCAAAACUCUUACGGGAAGACAAAAGCUCCAUUGGUUCCUUCAAGCAUAGACUACUGCUUGGGAAGAGAUGGGAGUCCACUACUCAAGAAUAUAGCAAAGUCACACGAGAAGAAUAUUAUUUGUUAGAAAAAUUUAUUGAAUAUUUUAGUGCAUGGCUUCCUUGAUAGCUUCCAUUCUACAAAAAUAUAUUUAGUGAUUGAAUGUGAUGGUGUUAGCUUAUGUGUUCUUUGUAAUGUAAUAAUUCAGUUUGUAAACUUUGUAUUACGAAUAAAAGCAAAUAAUGUGAUACGUAUUAGCAUCGUCUUUCAUUCAUCUACUAAAAAUACAGGUUUUAAGAUUAAAUUUAUGAAUUGGAUAAUGCUUGUGUCCCUUCCGUGAUUAACGAACAUUUACCAUCCGAACAUCAUAAUCAGAACCGUUCAUUCUCUUUAUAUGCAAAAAAUUAUUCAAUUUGGAGAUCUUAAUUUUAGCCAUUCAUAUAUGUUGAUGCACAAAACCGGAGGGGUCUUGGAACAACGUAAAUCCGACCGUGAAUCUGCAACAAAGUAAAGAACACAAGAUGUAUCGUGGUUCACGCCAAUGUUUGGGCUACGUCCACACUGAUGUUGAUAUUGUUUCACUCUGAAUGAUGAAUAUACAAGGAGGCUAGAGGCAGUGUGCUCUCUAGCCUAUUUUCUGUGUGCUCUCUUCCCAUGGCCUAAGACUUGGCCUCCUUUAAUGAGGAGGGUGAGGAGUCAUUUUAUAGAAUAAGGGCUCCUCACUUAUUACAUAUUUGCCCCUUCAUUUAUUACAUAAUUACAUUUGAGUUCCCCGAGUAUUUAUACGAGAUCUAAAUACGGAGGCCCUAAGUAUGGUACAAACAAUUUGCAUAAAACAAAUGGACGGUUCAUCAUGAGAAUGCUACUUGUUAUCAAAACCGUUAAUUGGUUUAACACGUAUGGAUGACUAAACGAUCUUUAAAUUGAAGGAUUUUUUGUAGAUAUGAUAUUUAGAUGAUGAUAAAGAGUAUAAACGGUUCUAAAUAUGAUGUUUUGAUGGUAAAUGUUUGUUAAUUGUAAGUGGGGGACAAGUAAGUCUCACCACAAGGAACAAAAGCAUUAUCCUUAUGAAUUUUCUCUUAAUCUCACAAAAUUACAACAAAGGUUUGGUGAUGGUAAACUCGUACGUAGUACUUUAUUUUCUCCACAUUGGCGAAAUUUAUAGAAGAACCAAAGUACAAUAUAAAUAUAAUUAGGAAACAAAUCUAAACAAUAACCUAGAAUACAAGUAAGAUCAGUACUAAGAAAUCAAUCAAAACCAGUUUAACCCACAAGAACAAGAAAAUCGAGACCUUAAAAGACUCAAAGACUCAAAGGUUUUGUAUGAAAUACCCUGGGUUGAUUCUCCUUCGGUAUAGUAAUUAUAACCUGAUGUUGUCUCAAUUAUUUAAAUUUGUGCUCACUUUAAAUCAUCUAUUCUGAUCACUCGUUAUUUUACUAACAAAAGUGUCCAUAUUUUAAAACCCGGACCCGUUUGAGUGGGUCUGACUUAGCUUUUGAGUUGGAUGGAUGGUAAUGUUUAAACUUUAAGGUGUUUGUGAGGGGGUUUUGGUGGAGGUAAUGGAAGAGGAGGUGGGUGAUCGUACCGUCCAGCGCAGGCUUUAGGGGGCCUCAACGCACGCGCAUGGCCUAAGAAAUUUUACAUAAACAAAUAAGAUGAUGUGGUGCCUGUUUCUUUAGGGUAAAUAAUCAUGCACGUACUGUCUGUUUACUCCUUUUUUUAUGUCUUUGAGUAUUUGAUCAUUCCUUAAGGGUGCAUUUGGUACGCGGGACGGGACUUGACGGAACGGGACGAGGCGUUCCGUUCCGCGUUUGGUGCGCCAAAAAUAGGUGGAACGGGCUGUUCCACGGGACAGAUUUUGGGUGUUUUUGCGUUCCACCUCCCCCCUUGGAACGGGUUUGUUCCACGUAUGUGAAACACAAUAUUUUACCAUUUUAAGACAAAUAUACCUCAUGUCUUUUUCAAAAAUUACACAUUCGUUCCGUCCCGUCCCGUCUGCGUACCAAACGCACCCCGUUCCGUCCCGUCCCGUCCCGUCUGCGUACCAAACGCACCCUAAAAGUUUUGGUUAACCAACUCACUCCACUAUUAGCUUCACCUUACAUCGGUCCAAAUCUGCAGGGCCCAGCCUGUGAUAACGUCAUUUUUUUUUACAUCUUUUCACACACUACUUUCCACAAAUUUUCUUUAAAAAUAAAUAAACUUAAUGGUUAUUUAAAUAUAGACUCGUACAACUUUUAUUUUCUAGAUAAAAACUUAUCUAGUUAUGAACAUCCAAAUAAAAUCCAAAUUUAAAAAUGACUGCCAAGUAUAGAAGUAAUUAACCUAUUAUUACAAAAUAUUUACAAUUUGUACCACAAUAUUCAAAAUAAAAUCAAUAAAUGUUAUUACUCACCUUAAUAAAAAUAUAAUUAUUGUACAUAUUAUUACCCCUAACACACAUAUAUAUGUUCAAAUGUAUAUAUGACUACCAUAAGCUCAAUAUAUAUAUAUAUAUAUAUAUAUAUAUAUAUAUAUAUAUAUAUAUAUAUAUAUAUAUAUAUAUAUAUAUAUAUAUAUACGUGUGUGUGUGUGUACAUAUAUAGUCGGGGUGUGCUAUCCACACACCCCUUUUUACUUCUCACACACCCUUUUUCAAUUUUUGUCCAUUGAUCUUCUUCACUUCAUUCGAUCCAACAACCGAAAAUUAAAAAGGUGUGUGAGAAGUAAAAGGGGUGUGUGGAUAUCACACCCCUAUAUAGUUUACCUAUAUAUUUACACGUAUAGAGUUUACCUAUAUGAACGUAUAGUAGUACUAUAUAUAUAGUUUACCUAUAUAUAAUACUACUAUACGCUCGCAUAUUGUUGACCCUAAAAACUACCAAGGCUACGUGGCGCGCAUGCCAAGUAACUAAUGAGCUAACUAUGUCAUUCGGUUGUGUGCAGGGCGUGCUAACUCAACGGCCGAGCUCGGCCGGGGAGUAAAAUUUGUUGAUGUUGCGUUGAGCGCGCUGUUGACUUCUUGAUCUUGCGACUGCGGCCGAGGAAGGAACAAGUCUCGGCCUUCGGGUUCUAGAGCCUGAAGACAAGGCUGUUAGUCUUGCGAAGUUCACAGAUCGUCGGUGCCAGGUUCGGUUAUGGUGAUUAUAUUCAUAAGAGUAUAAGCAUGCCGAACUGGCUCCAAACUAUACGGACACAAAUACUCAAAAGAGAUGUAUGUCUUGAUAGUAAAUGUCGUUCGACCGUUAGAAUGUUGAACUCUAAAACUUACUUGUGAAUAUCCAAUCAUAAAAAACUCGGCUUCAAUGUGCCGAGCCUAAAAAUCUGUAACACCUCACUUCGCCGAGAAGGCUAAUGAGAUGACGUCUGCAAAAAAAAAAUUGAAAAUCCUUCUUGGCUGAGACUUGGAUAGGUAACCAGUCGGCCUCGACGCAGUGCUGUUUAUCCAAACUGAAGGUGCUCCGCGGUCGGCUGAUUCUACGACAACAAUGCUGUUUAUCCAAACUAAAAAUGUGUUGGCGAAAGAGAAAACAAAAAUCUCAAGGUUGUUGAGAGGUUUUGCGUAGAGCGAAAGUUUGUGCAAGGCAGUUUGUGUGUUGAGUUGGGGAACUUUGAAUGAUGCACCCCCUUUUUAUUUAUAGCACCCAAUCUCAUCAUGGCCAAACCAAAACUAUACUCGGAUUAGGAUUCUUUAUCCUAAUCCAACCAAGUCUCGGCCAAUGUCUGAAAUGCCGAUAAUAUCGGUAAUAUUUCGCCGAUAUUAUCGGUUUUUCACGUUACCGAUAUUUUAAUAGGUAUCCAACGGGUUUUCGUCAAAAUAUCACGAUAUUAUCAAUAAUAUCGCGAUAUUAGCGAUAAUAUCGCCGAAGCUCCGUCGUCGCAACGGCAGCCGAGGCUCCGUCGUCGCAACGGCAGCCGAGGCUCCGUCGUCACAGCUGUCAAGAUCUGCGCCCCUCUCUACAAUCCACGCUCAGACCCAUCAAAAUGAGCAAUCCCUUUUCUCCGGAGGUAGCCGGAAUAUGGGUUGGGUAUCCUUGGGGUCAUAGGGGUUCUUCUGCGCGUCGCCGUGCUUCCCAGAGACGGAUGAGAGGGAGGGAGAGUUUAGGAGGGUGGUGGAGAUGCUACGCUGGCAUCGGGGUGGACGAAUUUGGGUGUGCCUGGGUGUGGGUGCGAUCAGGGAAAUGGAGUCCUCUGUGCGUCGCCAUGCUUCCCAGAGACGGAGGAGAGGGAUGGAGAGUUCAGGAGGGUGGUGGAGAUGCUGUGCUGGCAUCGGGGUGGACGAAUUUGGGUGUGCCUGAGUGUGGGUGCGAUCGGGGAAAUGGAGUGAGAGAACGAGAGUUCGAGAGAGAGAUAGAGUUAAGAACUGAGAGAGAGUGAGGAGUCCGAGAGAGACUCGGGAAAAGAGAGAGAAAGAUAGGGCGAGGGUUAGUGGGCUGCCACGUGGCAGCGUGAUGGAGAGUGAGAAUCAAGAUGGAGGGUCCAGAUUAGAUUAGGAUAAAUGACUCAAUUGCACAAUUUAUAUAAUUUCAGGGAAAGAGUGAAAAUAUAAAUUAAUCUGGGGGUCUAGAUUAGAUUAGGAUAAAUGACUCAAUUUCAGGGAAAGAGUGAAAAUAUAUAAUUUCAGGGAAAUAGUGAAAAAUUUGAACCUCAAAGAGUGAAAAAUUUGCCAACUCGCUAUAUAAUCAACUUAAAUCAGUUAAAUCCAUCAUGCAAUGCAUUUCCUUCCAAUUUUUUGUGAUAAACUAAUAGAUAAUUGACUAAAUAAACAUCUUACAAAGUUUCAAUAAAAAUUUCCAAGUUUUUCUUACAAUUUCCGUGGUUUCUAUAUUAUUUUUAUCGAUAUCGAUAAUAUCCUGAUAUUUCCAUCGAUAUUUCCAUGUUUUUGGAUUACCGAUAUUUCCGAUAUCAUCGAUAUUUAAUACCUUGGUGUGAACCAAUGCAAAAAUAACCAAGUAGAUAAUGCGUACAAUUUGGCCCUUCAAUUAAUUUUUGAAAAAAAAUAUUGUGUGUGUGUGUGUGUGUGAACCAAUGCAAAAAUAACCAAGCAGAUCAUGCGUACAAUUUGGCCCUUCAAUUAAUUUUUGAAAAAAAAUAUUGUAUGUUAACCACCAUGAUUAUGUGCCCUGUCAGAUGUGAUGUUACAAAUUGAUUACUAAAAUGCGUCUAGGUUUAGGGUUGUAUGUCCUAUAAAUAUGGAUGAAAUUAAUAAAUUGAUAAUAUAUCGGCAUGUCACCUGUUAUAAUGGUCAGGCAUGAGCUUCAAGAAGUUCACCUCUUUGUCACUGGUCUUUCUUGCAUCGGCCAGCUUCCACUCAAGCCAAGCUCAAGGAGCUGGGGGCAACCUAUGCGCCGGAGCUGACGACGCAGCCCUCUGCCGCUCGGUUGUGGUAAGAGCGAAAACCCCAUAUGCCGCCAUGGAAAAAAUCGUCAACCGACUGAUUUGUGAGGCAAAGCAAGCAAAAACUUCUGCUGCUAGGCCUCCCCCCGAGGACUCUCCAAUUUUCAAAGAAACCUUGAAAACUAUUUGUGUUUCCUCUCUUUGUCUCGUAGUGGGAUCUGCUUCGAUA
Molecule: long non-coding RNA, 5588 nt
Filed under: Malus domestica (apple)
Lineage: Eukaryota; Viridiplantae; Streptophyta; Magnoliopsida; Rosales; Rosaceae
Description: long non-coding RNA (MDOM_LNC016105)
Source: RNAcentral